RNAcentral lists this ribosomal RNA (413 nucleotides) under bacterium enrichment culture clone ALO1_GLFRUDD03GCUH2. RNAcentral describes it as "bacterial SSU rRNA". It matches the Rfam family "Bacterial small subunit ribosomal RNA", at positions 9 to 420 of the family's 1533-position model. The record is from RNAcentral.
GAGUUUGAUCUUGGCUCAGAUUGAACGCUGGCGGCCAUGGCCUUACACAUGCAAGUCGAACGGCAGCACGGGAGCUUGCUCCUGGUGGCGAGUGGCGAACGGGUGAGUAAUGCAUCGGAACGUAUCCUGGAGUGGGGGAUAACGUAGCGAAAGUUACGCUAAUACCGCAUAUUCUGUGAGCAGGAAAGCGGGGGACCUUCGGGCCUCGCGCUCUUGGAGCGGCCGAUGUCGGAUUAGCUAGUUGGUGAGGUAAAGGCUCACCAAGGCGACGAUCCGUAGCAGGUCUGAGAGGAUGAUCUGCCACACUGGAACUGAGACACGGUCCAGACUCCUACGGGAGGCAGCAGUGGGGAAUUUUGGACAAUGGGGGCAACCCUGAUCCAGCCAUGCCGCGUGAGUGAAGAAGGCCUCGG